AACGCGAAGAACCUUACCCAGUCUUGACAUGUAGAGGAAGUAAGUAGAGAUAUUUACGCCCUUCGGGGCCUUUACACAGGUGCUGCAUGGCUGUCGUCAGCUCGUGCCGUGAGGUGUUUGGUUAAGUCCAGCAACGAGCGCAACCCUUAUCAUUAGUUGCCAACAUUUAAGGUGGGAACUCUAAUGAGACUGCCUGGGUUAACCAGGAGGAAGGUGAGGAUGACGUCAAGUCCGCAUGGCCCUUAUGACUGGGGCUACACACGUGCUACAAUGGUCGGUACAGAAGGCAGCGAAGCCGCGAGGUGGAGCAAAUCCCAAAAGCCGAUCUCAGUUCAGAUUGUAGUCUGCAACUCGACUACAUGAAGACGGAAUUGCUAGUAAUGGCAGGUCAGCAACACUGCCGUGAAUACGUUCCCGGGCCUUGUACACACCGCACGA
RNAcentral lists this ribosomal RNA (438 nucleotides) under uncultured bacterium. RNAcentral's name for it is "bacterial SSU rRNA". It matches the Rfam family "Bacterial small subunit ribosomal RNA", at positions 958 to 1397 of the family's 1533-position model. The record is from RNAcentral.